GGGCCUGUGCAGACGGGUGAGUACGCGUGGACGUGCCUUUCACUACGGAAUAGCUUUUGGAAACGAAAGGUAAUACCGUAUACGCCCUCCGGGGGAAAGAUUUAUCGGUGAAAGAUCGGUCCGCGUUAGAUUAGCUAGUUGGUGAGGUAACGGCUCACCAAGGCUACGAUCUAUAGCUGGUCUGAGAGGAUGAUCAGCCACACUGGGACUGAGACACGGCCCAGACUCCUACGGGAGGCAGCAGUGGGGAAUAUUGCACAAUGGGCGCAAGCCUGAUGCAGCCAUGCCGCGUGAAUGAUGAAGGCCUUAGGGUUGUAAAAUUCUUUCGCCAAGGAUGAUAAUGACAGUACUUGGUAAAGAAGCCCCGGCUAACUUCGUGCCAGCAGCCGCGGUAAUACGAAGGGGGCUAGCGUUGUUCGGAAUUACUGGGCGUAAAGCGCACGUAGGCGGACUUUUAAGUCAGAUGUGAAAUCCCGAGGCUCAACCUCGGAACUGCAUUUGAAACUGGGAGUCUAGAGAUCAGGAGAGGUUAGUGGAAUACCGAGUGUAGAGGUGAAAUUCGUAGAUAUUCGGAGGAACACCAGUGGCGAAGGCGGCUCACUGGCUCGAUAUUGACGCUGAGGUGCGAAAGUGUGGGGAGCAAACAGGAU
RNAcentral lists this ribosomal RNA (650 nucleotides) under uncultured bacterium. Its description in RNAcentral is "bacterial SSU rRNA". It matches the Rfam family "Bacterial small subunit ribosomal RNA", at positions 90 to 778 of the family's 1533-position model. The record is from RNAcentral.